UACGAAGGGGGCGAGCGUUGUUCGGAAUUACUGGGCGUAAAGGGCGCGUAGGCGGCCGAUCAAGUCAGAUGUGAAAGUCCUGGGCUUAACCUGGGGACUGCAUUUGAUACUGAUUGGCUUGAAUGCAGAAGAGGAUAGCGGAAUUCCCAGUGUAGAGGUGAAAUUCGUAGAUAUUGGGAAGAACACCGGUGGCGAAGGCGGCUAUCUGGACUGUGAUUGACGCUGAGGCGCGAAAGCGUGGGGAGCAAACAGG
This 253-nucleotide ribosomal RNA is filed under the name uncultured bacterium. RNAcentral's name for it is "partial 16S ribosomal RNA". It matches the Rfam family "Bacterial small subunit ribosomal RNA", at positions 524 to 776 of the family's 1533-position model. The record is from RNAcentral.